Long non-coding RNA from Scylla paramamosain (green mud crab), 809 nucleotides. RefSeq lists it as uncharacterized. The record is from RefSeq and is a predicted model, not a curated record. NCBI's taxonomy places the organism in Eukaryota, Metazoa, Arthropoda, Malacostraca, Decapoda, Portunidae. The transcript has 3 exons.
CGAGUAAUUUGAUAUAGAUUAAUGGAUAAAAGAAAGAAAAAAAAAUCCGGCUCAGGCAAAAAUGGCCUUAAAUAAAACAUUAGUAUGAAAAAAAAAACAAGGCCAAAAACAAGACUAAAACGCGUUUUUAGUAACACGCGAUAAACUGUAGGAUAAGAUGGCACUGGGAUGAAAAGAUAAAGACCUAAUAUUUCGGCUCAGUGAAGAGGAGGAGAAUUCGACAAAAUCUCACCAAACAAAACAUUAACACGAAAAAAGGAAGAUAAAACAAAAAUAAAAAGAAAUAAUCAGUAAUCUGAGAUAGAAAUCAAGAAAAAAAAUAUAUUGCGGCGAUGAGAAAAAGAUAAAUAUCUCGGCACAGCGGGAAGGAGGGUUCGGCGUCAGUCAGUCAGCUGAUGGCGUGUUGAGAGGAGGAAGCCGCGCCACCCUCUCUCUAUUUGAUGUGUGAAUUGUGUGUUCCGGUGAUUGUGUAGUGUUCUAAAAGUGCCAUUGGAGAGGGAAAUAGUCAGGAAAGUAGUGGACAAGGGAGGACAAUUAAUAGUACAUCGUUUAAGGUAAGUUUGCCCAGACCAACGCCCGCUGCAAGAAGGCCCCGCCCACAUCUGCCCACCUGCCCACCGCCCACUGCAUUCCCGCCCGCUGCACGCCCACCCCAGCACGGCGCCCCAAGGUUGAGAGGCGCCUCCUGCUGGCCACGGGGACGCCACGCCCUAUAGGUGAGUGCCCUGCCCGCCCUACCUGUUAAUUGGUCGUUAAUCACCUCACCUGGGCCUUCUGUAUUACCUGUGUCUAAGGGUACCUAUGACCUG